UGACAAUGAAAGAUAGAGAGAGAGAGAGAGAGUGCUGGAGGAACGCAGCGGGUCAGGCAGCAGCUGGGGAGCGAUAUGGACCGGCGACGCUCCGGGAUGGGACUCUUCAGAGAAAGUUAGCUCUACCAGAGUUUGGAUAUAUCUGAUUUGACCUCAUCUCAUGGCUCAGUUAUAGCUGGUAUUUCUCAUCCAAGGAACAGACCUGUCUGGGGGUCCCAGGAUGGAGGAUGCAAAAAGAGCUCAGGUUAAACUCCAUGUCCAAGGCACUUCAAUUAGACCCACUCCCACCUUCUGGUCUGUGGGGAGCAACCUGAGGAACAUCCACAGCCCAAGGCUCUGAAGGUCAGCGGUAUCAGUGAUUUGUGACCUAUCGCCUCUCACCCACACUCAGCUCUCACAGCAAAGGUCAGGUUCACCUUGAAUUUCUUGGCUCCAGUUUAUGACAAUCUACCAGUUUAAUCUAUGCUACAU
Amblyraja radiata (thorny skate) is the source of this 471-nucleotide long non-coding RNA. RefSeq lists it as uncharacterized. The record is from RefSeq and is a predicted model, not a curated record. Lineage: Eukaryota; Metazoa; Chordata; Chondrichthyes; Rajiformes; Rajidae. The transcript is spliced from 3 exons.